This 343-nucleotide ribosomal RNA is filed under the name uncultured soil bacterium. RNAcentral describes it as "bacterial SSU rRNA". It matches the Rfam family "Bacterial small subunit ribosomal RNA", at positions 26 to 363 of the family's 1533-position model. The record is from RNAcentral.
AGAUUGAACGCUGGCGGCAUGCCUUACACAUGCAAGUCGAACGGCAGCACGGGAGCAAUCCUGGUGGCGAGUGGCGAACGGGUGAGUAAUACAUCGGAACGUGCCCAGUAGCGGGGGAUAACUACGCGAAAGCGUGGCUAAUACCGCAUACGCCCUACGGGGGGAAAGGGGGGGAUCGCAAGACCUCUCACUAUUGGAGCGGCCGAUAUCAGAUAGCUAGUUGGUGAGGUAAAGGCUCACCAAGGCGACGAUCUGUAGCUGGUUUGAGAGGACGACCAGCCACACUGGGACUGACGACGACCGGCCCAAGACCUCCGUACGGGAGCAGACGAGGUGGGAAUUU